GACGUAGGUUCCGAGCGUUAUCCGGAUUUACUGGGCGUAAAGCGCGUUCAGGCGGUCUGGCAAGUCGGGCAUGAAAUCUCUCGGCUCAACCGGGAGAGGUUGUCCGAUACUGUUAGACUGGAGGGCAGUAGAGGGUGGUGGAAUUCCGGGUGUAGUGGUGAAAUGCGUAGAGAUCCGGAGGAACACCAGUGGCGAAAGCGGCCACCUGGACUGCACCUGACGCUGAAACGCGAAAGCUAGGGGAGCGAACGGG
Molecule: ribosomal RNA, 253 nt
Filed under: uncultured bacterium
Lineage: Bacteria
Description: partial 16S ribosomal RNA
Rfam family: Bacterial small subunit ribosomal RNA
Source: RNAcentral